RNAcentral lists this ribosomal RNA (481 nucleotides) under uncultured bacterium. RNAcentral's name for it is "partial 16S ribosomal RNA". It matches the Rfam family "Bacterial small subunit ribosomal RNA", at positions 28 to 507 of the family's 1533-position model. The record is from RNAcentral.
GAUGAACGCUGGCGGCGUGCUUAACACAUGCAAGUCGAACGAAGCACUUUAUUUGAUUUCCUUCGGGACUGAUUAUUUUGUGACUGAGUGGCGGACGGGUGAGUAACGCGUGGGUAACCUGCCUUGUACAGGGGGAUAACAGUUGGAAACGGCUGCUAAUACCGCAUAAGCGCACAGCAUCGCAUGAUGCAGUGUGAAAAACUCCGGUGGUAUAAGAUGGACCCGCGUUGGAUUAGCUAGUUGGUGAGGUAACGGCCCACCAAGGCGACGAUCCAUAGCCGACCUGAGAGGGUGACCGGCCACAUUGGGACUGCGACACGGCCCAAACUCCUACGGGAGGCAGCAGUGGGGAAUAUUGCACAAUGGGCGAAAGCCUGAUGCAGCGACGCCGCGUGAGCGAAGAAGUAUUUCGGUAUGUAAAGCUCUAUCAGCAGGGAAGAUAAUGACGGUACCUGACUAAGAAGCACCGGCUAACUACGUG